This 271-nucleotide ribosomal RNA is filed under the name uncultured bacterium. RNAcentral's name for it is "partial 16S ribosomal RNA". It matches the Rfam family "Bacterial small subunit ribosomal RNA", at positions 524 to 776 of the family's 1533-position model. RNAcentral also lists the same sequence under 1 other name. The record is from RNAcentral.
UACGGAGGGUGCGAGCGUUGUCCGGAAUCACUGGGCGUAAAGGGCGCGUAGGUGGCCGAGCAAGGUCGCGGUGAAAGCCCGGGGCUCAACCCCGGGUCGGCCGUGGCAACUACUUGGCUGGAGCACUGUAGGGGCGGGUGGAAUUCCGGGUGUAGCGGUGGAAUGCGUAGAGAUCCGGAAGAACACCGGUGGCGAAGGCGGCCCGCUGGGCAGGAAGACCUCGUAAGAGGUCGGCUGACACUGAGGCGCGACAGCGUGGGGAGCAAACAGG